RNAcentral lists this ribosomal RNA (643 nucleotides) under uncultured marine bacterium. RNAcentral's name for it is "bacterial SSU rRNA". It matches the Rfam family "Bacterial small subunit ribosomal RNA", at positions 8 to 633 of the family's 1533-position model. The record is from RNAcentral.
AGAGUUUGAUCAUGGCUCAGGACGAACGCUGGCGGCGUGCCUAAUACAUGCAAGUCGAGCGGAUCGAUGGGAGCUUGCUCCCUGAGAUCAGCGGCGGACGGGUGAGUAACACGUGGGUAACCUGCCUGUAAGACUGGGAUAACUCCGGGAAACCGGGGCUAAUACCGGAUAACACCUACCCCCGCAUGGGGUAAGGUUGAAAGGUGGCUUCGGCUAUCACUUACAGAAGGACCCGCGGCGCAUUAGCUAGUUGGUGAGGUAAUGGCUCACCAAGGCGACGAUGCGUAGCCGACCUGAGAGGGUGAUCGGCCACACUGGGACUGAGACACGGCCCAGACUCCUACGGGAGGCAGCAGUAGGGAAUCUUCCGCAAUGGACGAAAGUCUGACGGAGCAACGCCGCGUGAGUGAAGAAGGUUUUCGGAUCGUAAAACUCUGUUGUUAGGGAAGAACAAGUGCCGUUCGAAUAGGGCGGCGCCUUGACGGUACCUAACCAGAAAGCCACGGCUAACUACGUGCCAGCAGCCGCGGUAAUACGUAGGUGGCAAGCGUUGUCCGGAAUUAUUGGGCGUAAAGCGCGCGCAGGUGGUUUCUUAAGUCUGAUGUGAAAGCCCACGGCUCAACCGUGGAGGGUCAUUGGAAAC